This 253-nucleotide ribosomal RNA is filed under the name uncultured bacterium. RNAcentral describes it as "partial 16S ribosomal RNA". It matches the Rfam family "Bacterial small subunit ribosomal RNA", at positions 524 to 776 of the family's 1533-position model. The record is from RNAcentral.
UACGAAGGGGGCUAGCGUUGCUCGGAAUUACUGGGCGUAAAGCGCACGUAGGCGGCUUUCUAAGUCGGGGGUGGAAUCCUGGAGCUCAACUCCAGAACUGCCUUCGAUACUGGAGAGCUUGAGUCCGGGAGAGGUGAGUGGAACUGCGAGUGUAGAGGUGAAAUUCGUAGAUAUUCGCAAGAACACCAGUGGCGAAGGCGGCUCACUGGCCCGGUACUGACGCUGAGGUGCGAAAGCGUGGGGAGCAAACAGG